UGACUUGUUGGUUUUUCAGGGGAUGUGCAG
This 30-nucleotide non-coding RNA is filed under the name Homo sapiens (human). Lineage: Eukaryota; Metazoa; Chordata; Mammalia; Primates; Hominidae. The record is from RNAcentral.